UGCAAGUCGAACGGUAACGCGGGGCAACCUGGCGACGAGUGGCGAACGGGUGAGUAAUGUAUCGGAACGUGCCCAGUUGUGGGGGAUAACUGCUCGAAAGAGCAGCUAAUACCGCAUACGACCUGAGGGUGAAAGCGGGGGAUCGCAAGACCUCGCGCAGUUGGAGCGGCCGAUAUCAGAUUAGGUAGUUGGUGGGGUAAAGGCUCACCAAGCCAACGAUCUGUAGCUGGUCUGAGAGGACGACCAGCCACACUGGGACUGAGACACGGCCCAGACUCCUACGGGAGGCAGCAGUG
RNAcentral lists this ribosomal RNA (296 nucleotides) under Roseateles sp. Its description in RNAcentral is "partial 16S ribosomal RNA". It matches the Rfam family "Bacterial small subunit ribosomal RNA", at positions 56 to 356 of the family's 1533-position model. The record is from RNAcentral. Lineage: Bacteria; Pseudomonadati; Pseudomonadota; Betaproteobacteria; Burkholderiales; Sphaerotilaceae.